CGUGUAGGCGGUCGGGUAAGUCAGAUGUGAAAGCCUUCCGCUCAACGGAAGAAGUGCAUUUGAAACUGCUCGGCUGGAGUACGGGAGAGGAGAGUGGAAUUCCCGGUGUAGAGGUGAAAUUCGUAGAUAUCGGGAGGAACACCAGUGGCGAAGGCGGCUCUCUGGUCCGAUACUGACGCUGAGACGCGAAAGCGUGGGGAGCAAACAGGAUUAGAUACCCUGGUAGUCCACGCCGUAAACGAUGGGCACUAUGUGUAGGAGGUAUUGACCCCUUCUGUGCCGAAGUUAACGCAUUAAGUGCCCCGCCUGGGGAGUACGGCCGCAAGGCUAAA
RNAcentral lists this ribosomal RNA (332 nucleotides) under uncultured bacterium. Its description in RNAcentral is "bacterial SSU rRNA". It matches the Rfam family "Bacterial small subunit ribosomal RNA", at positions 568 to 898 of the family's 1533-position model. The record is from RNAcentral.